AUUGAACGCUGGCGGCAGGCUUAACACAUGCAAGUCGAACGGUAACAGGAGAAAGCUUGCUUUCUUGCUGACGAGUGGCGGACGGGUGAGUAAUGCUUGGGAAUCUGGCUUAUGGAGGGGGAUAACGACGGGAAACUGUCGCUAAUACCGCGUAGUGUCGAGAGAUGAAAGUGCGGGACCUUCGGGCCGCAUGCCAUAGGAUGAGCCCAAGUGGGAUUAGGUAGUUGGUGGGGUAAAGGCCUACCAAGCCGACGAUCUCUAGCUGGUCUGAGAGGAUGACCAGCCACACCGGGACUGAGACACGGCCCGGACUCCUACGGGAGGCAGCAGUGGGGAAUAUUGCGCAAUGGGGGCAACCCUGACGCAGCCAUGCCGCGUGAAUGAAGAAGGCCUUCGGGUUGUAAAGUUCUUUCGGUAUUGAGGAAGGUUGUUGUGUUAAUAGCACGACAAAUU
RNAcentral lists this ribosomal RNA (453 nucleotides) under Aggregatibacter sp. oral taxon G24. Its description in RNAcentral is "bacterial SSU rRNA". It matches the Rfam family "Bacterial small subunit ribosomal RNA", at positions 30 to 481 of the family's 1533-position model. Lineage: Bacteria; Pseudomonadati; Pseudomonadota; Gammaproteobacteria; Pasteurellales; Pasteurellaceae. The record is from RNAcentral.